GAUGAACGCUAGCGGCAUGCCUAAUACAUGCAAGUCGAACGGGAACCCGAUCAAAGCUUGCUUUGGUCUGUUGAGAGUGGCGCACGGGUACGUAACGCGUAAGCAACCUACCCUUGUCAGGGGGAUAGCGCGGCGAAAGUCGGAUUAAUACCGAAUGACAUCAUUGAAAGGCUUCUUUCGAUGAUCAAAGAUUUAUGGGACAAAUAUGGGCUCGCGUGACAUUAGCUAGUUGGUAAAGUAACGGCUUACCAAGGAUGCGCUGUCUAUGGGCUCUGAGAGGCGACCCCCCCAGAAUGGUAAUGCGACCCGGACCAGAACCGUACGGGAGGGAGCAGAAAGGAACACUGGUCAAGGGACGGAAGUCUGAACCAGCCGUGCCGGGGGUAGGAAGACGGGCAUAUGGGUUGUAAACUGCUUUUAUACGGGAACAAUCGUCGGUACGAGUACCGGUUUGAGUGUACCGAAAGAAUAAGGAACGGCUAACUACGUG
Molecule: ribosomal RNA, 490 nt
Filed under: uncultured bacterium
Lineage: Bacteria
Description: partial 16S ribosomal RNA
Rfam family: Bacterial small subunit ribosomal RNA
Source: RNAcentral